Molecule: ribosomal RNA, 459 nt
Filed under: uncultured bacterium
Lineage: Bacteria
Description: partial 16S ribosomal RNA
Rfam family: Bacterial small subunit ribosomal RNA
Source: RNAcentral
CCUACGGGAGGCAGCAGUGAGGAAUAUUGGUCAAUGGACGAGAGUCUGAACCAGCCAAGUCGCGUGAAGGAUGACUGCCCUAUGGGUUGUAAACUUCUUUUAUAAAGGAAUAAAACGAGGCACGUGUGCCUUUUUGCAUGGACUCCUGAAUAAGGAUCGGCUAACUCCGUGCCAGCAGCCGCGGGAAUACGGAGGAUCCGAGAGUUAUCCGGAUUUAUUGGGUUUAAAGGGAGCGUAGAUGGGUUGUAACGUAAGUUGUGAAAGUUUGCGGGUGAACCGUCAUAUUGCAAUUGAUACUGGGAGUCUGGAGUACAGUUGAGGUAGGCGGAAUUCGUGGUGUAGCGGUGAAAUGCUUAGAUAUCACGAAGAACCCCGAUUGCGAAGGCAGCUUACUAAACUGUGACUGACAUUGAUGCUCGAAAGUGUGGGUAUCAAACAGGAUUAGAUACCCGUGUAGUC